This 363-nucleotide long non-coding RNA is filed under the name Eucalyptus grandis. Its description in RNAcentral is "long non-coding RNA (EGRA_LNC001829)". Lineage: Eukaryota; Viridiplantae; Streptophyta; Magnoliopsida; Myrtales; Myrtaceae. The record is from RNAcentral.
GGAAAUUGAAUGCUGUAGGAAUGUCCAUCACCUGGAAAAGGACGUUGAACAUCACCGGUCCUAUUUGCAGUUCAAGGUGGGUCUCCCCUAUAACCUCCUUUCUCGUACCAUCAAAAGCUCGGACGGAGGUCUUUGCAGCAUUUAUUUUUGAAGGAUCUAUUUUAAGGCGGUGAAGAGUCGCCAAUGGACAGAUAUUCAAGGCAGACCCAUUGUCAAUGAGUACUCGGGCCACAUGGGAAGCCUUACACUUGACGGAUAUAUAUAAUGCCUUAGUAUGUCCCCUCCCCUCAAGAGGGAAUUCUUCAUCGGAAAAGGCUAUUAAAUCCUUAAGAAGAAUUGACCCUACAAAUUCCUCCAACCUGU